RNAcentral lists this ribosomal RNA (253 nucleotides) under uncultured bacterium. Its description in RNAcentral is "partial 16S ribosomal RNA". It matches the Rfam family "Bacterial small subunit ribosomal RNA", at positions 524 to 776 of the family's 1533-position model. RNAcentral also lists the same sequence under 1 other name. The record is from RNAcentral.
UACAGAGGUCCCAAGCGUUGUUCGGAUUUAUUGGGCGUAAAGGGUGCGUAGGCGGUCGCCUAAGUCAGGUGUGAAAUCUCGGGGCUCAACCUCGAAACUGCACUUGAUACUGGGUGGCUUGAGUACUGGAGAGGAGACUGGAAUUUACGGUGUAGCAGUGAAAUGCGUAGAUAUCGUAAGGAAGACCAGUGGCGAAGGCGAGUCUCUGGACAGUUACUGACGCUGAGGCACGAAGGCCAGGGGAGCAAACGGG